CUAAUCUGUGAUGAAGUUGGUUGCUGCCCUUGUUCCUAAAUGGACUGAAUCUUCUAAUAGUAAUUUGAGAUUAUCAUAUGCUAUUUAAUAUUCUACUGUUGAAGUUUCCUGAAGCUUUUGGGAUCGACUGCAAGGUUCUAGAACCUGCUAUCUAGAUUUGUUAGUAUACUGCUCUUGGUUUACUUAGUGGAAUUUUGGUUGUUCUUUGGUUUACAAGAUUUUGUUGUUUGGGUCUAGUUUGGCUUGUCAAACCUAUUCCUACAUUAACUAGUAAUCCCAUACUCAAUCUUAGAGCCCCCCUAUUAGACCCAUAAAAGUGGUCUAUUACACUCAAAACACAUUAGAUCAAAGGCCCAACAUGUAUGGAACCCAACCUUAGGCUUAAUCCUAAUAAAAUAAGCCUUUUUUGGUGAUUAAUCUGCAUCAACUCUCCCCUUCUUGAAAAAAUUCAUCCUCGAAUUUUGCAGUGAUGAGGGGGAAACAACAUGUGCGUAGUAACUUUAACCAUUCCCAAACAAAAUUCUGGUUGCUUGUGAACUUGUGGAAUGUAGUCUUCAAGGCGGGGAACUUUCUCUUCGAAGAACCAUGAUGGCAUAACAAACUCUGUAUGUUUGACCUCUGAAUCGAUACCAACUGUGAAUGUUGUAUGAAUAGAGUCAUCAACGUUAGUAACUUUCUCAUCAAGGAUAAGAACAAACUCUUCCUUCUCAUCAUGAAUCUCAAAGACUUGUUGUGGAGUGCUUCAUCUACUACCUCAUAUUCCACUGCCUCAAUCUUGUCAACUAUGCUUUCUUCAAAGUAGAAUUCUUUAGUGGAAUCUUUUAUCUCUUGACCUUCCUUCUUUGAAGCUUUAAGAACUAUCUCUUCAAUGUGAACCUUAACUUUAAGUUCUUUUGGUUUAAAGAGAGGUAUUUUCACUUCCCAUGGAGGGAUUAUAGGUGCUAUUAAUGAUUCUAGGACACCAGCAUGUUGUUCUACUGUAGCUAAUCGUUCAUGCAUUCGCACAAUUCCUUGACUCAGCUGCAUCAACUCCUUAAAAAUAUAAUCAAAGUCCUCAGGACUUAUUUCACCGUUGGGCAUGUUCAGCUCUGAUAGUCUUCCAAGGUUGUUCUCUGCCAUGCUCUGAUACCACUUAAUGUAGACUAGGGUAGGGGUCUAACCAAGUCUCAAUCUGCAAGAACUUUUAAACCAAAGAACAACUAAUGGUAAAGGCAUAACAGUGGCACAGGUCAAAUCUGAUUAAAACCAGAACUAGGAAUCAAGUCUGCCGAGUCUAGAAAUCAGGGAUUCUGAGAUCAGAAUAUAGCUAGCUGGAUAGCAUAGCUAGGAAACAGAACUAAGUCCAAAUACCACUCAACAAACAUAACCAGUCUUCAGAUAAUCAACAACAUGCAACUCCAACUAAUUGAUCUCUGUUUCAGGUCUGAAAUCAGAACUGAUAGCACUGCAGGACAAGAAAGUGGAGAUUUCUUGUAUCUCAUCAACCACAGGUCAGAAUGACCUGAUAUUUGGAUUGAAGGAGGCCCUUAAUGGGUGGAUAAUUCAUCAAAAUUACAGCUCAAACCAAGGGCUGGAAGUACUUCAGGUCACAAAGAACCGAAUGUGAAAACUAAGGAGAUUCUGGGCAGAAUUAGACUUUUAAAUACCUGGUCCGUAAAGCAGUGUUAGACAGCAGUACUCCUUGAAUAUAAACUUGAAAGAGAAUAAGAAACUUAAAGAAAACCUCCUGGACUUCUCGCCGCAAGGAGUCGUUUGGAUCAAACACCAAAUCCAGCAGUUUGAUCAAACACAAAGCCAUCUCAGCAAAGACAUUACAGAAGCAACAGUUUUUUGUUUGUAUAAAUCGUUCGAGGUUUAAUGGGAGCCCUCUUCUUUAUUUAUAAUAAUGAUGGGGGUUAUAUAAAAUAGAAACUAACUUUAGUUUCAAAAAACUGAAGUAGAAACUUAUAAAAUAGAAGAUCCUCUAGUUACUAAAACUGGAAAUAGAAACUAGGAAUUAAAAGUACUGAAAUUAGAAACUAAAUAAACUGGAUUUAGAAACUAAAUAAUAAUCUAAAUAACUCCAUUAAUCCCCAACUAAAAAGGAAACUAAUGAAAAAUGGAAACUAACUAGUAAUUCCGUACUCAAUCUUAGAAGCCCCCCUUUUAGACCCAUAAAAGUGGUCUAUUACACUCAAAACAUAUUGGAUCAAAGGCCUAAUAUGUAUGAAACCCAACCCUAGGCUUAAUCCUAAUAAAAUAAGCCUUUUUUGGUGAUUAAUCUGCAUUAGUGAUAGAUUGAAGUUAUGGGUCUUUAUUGUUCUUAAUAAUUAUAUAAACAAAGAAGAAGAAAAGAAUAACACAAAUAUUGUGCCUCAGAUUUUUAAACUUUUAUUGUUUUGGCUAUUGAAAAAGGUUGAUCUGAAAACUAUGUGGUACUGACACGAUUGUUGAGUUAAAUCUAUGAAUAUUGUUUUCUACAUUUGAUAGAAGUAAGGUAUAUAGUCAAGGUCUUUGAAUUACUGGUUUCUGUGCAUGGGUUUAUCUUCAUAUUUUAGCAUAGCAAUUUUAUGACUUUAUUGGAGGUGGAGCAGGCUUGAGGAUGCUGGCUAUGCUGUAGGUGUAACCGUGCAAGAGUUCUGGAACUUCUUUGCCAUAGGGAUAAGUGGUGAUCAAUCAAAGCCUUCUUCUGGAGGUUUUGGAUAAGAUAGAGGAAGAAAACGCUAGAGUGAAGACGUUGGGGAAGACGCUGGGGGAGUUACAGUCCAAGGAGGGGAGGCUAGUGGUACCUCAGCGGCUACAGCUCAAGAAGUCACGCACCAAAUGGUGGCCGCUACACAAGUUGAGUCUGAUUCUUCGUCUGACAGGCUUCCUUUGACUUUUUUAGUUGUUCGGAGCGCCAACCGCCAAGAGAUGGAGAGUGGCCCUAACAAAAAGAAGAGAAGUGCGGCCAUUGUUUACCCCCAGGAGUCUAAGACGCAAAUGGCUAGCGGUCCUGGGUUCUCUUUAACCCAUUCGUUGCACGGUGUCUCUUGAUGAGGUUGUUAUUACCCCUCGUGGCAAUCAUGAGACGUCCGAAAAGAAGGAGAAGGGGAAAGAUCUUGUCCCUCCGUCUGCUGAAGACUUCUUCUCUCCCUGUUAUGGGGUUAACAGUGAGCAAUCAUUGUUUAAGGAUGCAAAGGUUGCUUGCGCUGUUGUGAAUGAGGGUGUCCUUCCCCGGGAUAGUUCACACCUGGCUAGCAUCCGUUUUGACGAGCUCCUGGAGAUGGGAUAUACCUAAGUGGCUAGGGUCAUGCUUGGAGAGGUCCUCACAAGGGCUGAGUAUUAUCAUAAGGUUGGGUAGGAGUUCAAGCAGAAGUAUGAGAAUGGUAAGAAGGCCCACUGUGAAUUACAAACGGAGUGUGAGAGGUUGAGAGGGGCAAAAGAAGCUUCUGAUGUGGCAGCUACAGUGAGGGAGCUCGACUAUAUUGCUUUGAAGGGCACGUUGGAUGAGAUUUAAAAGGCCUCCCUUAUUGCCGCGAAGAAUGCUUUAGUCUUGGAGGAAGACCUGAAGGCUCACAGGGUUGUCUCCUAAAGGUAUACAAUGAGAUUGACACCUUGAAGAAGUUAACGUCUAUGUGAACGACAACAAGGUUCCGAACGAACAAGUGCAGAAGACCAUCGACCAGGCUCGUUGCGAGGUAUUGGCUGCUAUCAAGAAGUACAAAAAAUCUAGGACCUUUGAGAAGGAGUUAGCUAAAUCUGAGGCUGACUGCUAUCUACUUUGCGGGGCGAGGUUGCGAAGGUUCACCCAAACUUCGACUUCAGCAUGUUUGCUAAGGAAUGGGCUAUAUAGAAGCCAAGAAGGCGAGGGAGGCUAAAAGAGCAGCUGUCUCCAUCGGGUUUGGUGCUCUUCCUUCUUUGCCAAAGCAAAGGGCUCUUCCUGUUCGGCCAGAAUUGAGUGUUGUUCCUAUUCAGCAAGAGCAAAGUGUUGUUCUUGUUCGGCCAGAGCAGGGUGUUGUUCCUGUUUGGCUGGAACAAGACAUCGCUCUUGCUCAGGACAUUGCCCCGUUGUGGAGCCAAUCAGGGAGAUGUCUUGCGACAGACAUGACAUUCAAGUGCUUUCUUCUAAGCCUAGCAUCCCAGUACUUGCACCCCAACUUGUGUGGCUGUUAAACAAGAGUUCUCCUUCUGAUGUUAUCGAAGGGUCAAGCUGUUUUGCCUCCUCUCGUCUUCCUGGUGAAGGGAACGAUCCGAUGGAGCAUACCAGUUGAUGAUUUUAAUUUUCAUUUGCUCUUCUUCUUGUAAUCUCUUUUUGCAGCUCUUGUACUUCAUACUCUCGUAAUGAAAGGCCUUUUGGGUGCGUUUUUCUUUU
Macadamia integrifolia is the source of this 4333-nucleotide long non-coding RNA. RefSeq lists it as uncharacterized. The record is from RefSeq and is a predicted model, not a curated record. The transcript has 3 exons. NCBI's taxonomy places the organism in Eukaryota, Viridiplantae, Streptophyta, Magnoliopsida, Proteales, Proteaceae.